GUGUGUGUGUGUGUGUGCGUGCGUUCCUCGGGGCCCGAGCCGUGCCGGUUCCAAUUCCAGUUCCACACACACGUUCUUAUAAUUCCCUACUCUGUCGCUCCAAAUGUACUGGUGCCUUUAUCAUCAGCUAAAACAAAUGGCUUUGCACCUCCACAACAGGGAAAACACACACACACACACGCGCAGUGCAGAUCAGUCUUCCGACACACCUCGUGUUGCUCGUGUGUGACGCAGCAAAAAGUCCAAAACAAUCUCACUCGAAUCCCUCUAAAGUCGGGCCUCACAAGGACAGAACUACUACAGCGCGCACACACACACACGUCCGCACACAGGCUGGUGGGAAUCAUUUCUGUGUACAAUUUUUCCUCAUUCGCCGCCUUUUGAGCCGGCUGUUUGAUUGGUUGCCGCGGUGAUAGAUGCCUGGCCGGUUUUUCUGAUUACAACAAUCUUCGAUCUCCAGGGCCCAACAUAAUCAGAAUAAAUGUCCCCCACUGCAGCGGGAAUAAAGGUGUGUGAAAGGGAGAAGGAGGCACGGGCGGAGGAGAAGGUGCGGGCGUGUGCUCUGAAAGGGUGGUUGACAGCAGGUGGCAGAGAUGCUCGCGCCCGGCAUGUGAAACCGAGACAUUUGGAAGCGACACAAGCGAGAAAAGCCGCCCGUGAGGACUAGAGUAUCAGAGAGUAGGAAAACCAUAAUGUAAUAUUGAUUCAUCCAUUGAUUCCCCCGCUCAACAACCCAGCCGAGAAAGAAUAAGUCUCUUUCCCUUCCCCCCCAGACGACAAAUGAACAGCAACUUUCUCCAUCGGGCCAACGCGGCGUUGAUCGCCAGCCGUCAACAAUCUAAGACAUUCUUCCACCUGUCGCAGCACGAGGGUUCUGCAACUUCGGCCUUACGUAAUUUCUUUUCCAGGGCAUUUUAUUUAUUUAGUUGGUUUGUUUGCAAAGAGUAGAGUGUGUGUGUAGCAUUUACGUACUGCAGUGAAAAGAGGUGAGAGGGACGGAGGGGAGGCAGCGCGGCGGGUUGAUCCAUGUCAUUUGUGUCAUAGCAAGCGCACAAUUAGAGAAGAGGGUGCUCACGAGGAGGCGUCAGGCUGCAGAGGAGGAGAGAUGGGAAGGGAGCGCUUGCUUCUGUGUGUGUGUGACAGUGACUGUAAUUGCUCUUCACCUCUACUUCCAAAGCUUUUAGCUCGGUCAGCACGCAGCCAAUCAGAAGGCCCGCUCAAAGGCGCCAGUCAGAGAGCAGAGAGGAGGCAGCCGAGGACUGUCUCCCAACUAACUGGAUUACCUUCACCCUCGCUCUGCGCUAAACGCUGGGCUGCGAAACCCAAAUAAGCGAAAUGAAGUGGCAGAAACGGCCACUUCCUGAGGUUCUGUUUCACCGUCCCGAGACGCUGAUUGGAUUCAUGGCCGAUUUGCUUCUUCUCUCGUUUUUUUUGUUGUUGUUGUUGUUGGUACUCCUCUCCCCUCCUCGUCCUCCGCCUCUUUUUCGCAGAACUCAUUUCGUUUCCAUUGAUAAGUGUGUUUCUCAAUUUGGGGAAUAAAGAAUAAGUGUCUGCUAUCUGGACGCAGCUGCAAAUGAGUCAGCUACAGAGCUGGAAUAAAUGUGUUUGCAAUUACAGAGGAGAAGGAGAGAAAAAAAGCUUCAGCUGUCAGCGAGAUGUGCGCGCGCCUCAUUUCCCUCUUUGUUGUUCCCACAAACUCAGAAACGUUUCGCUCUGUAUCACUGUCA
Gasterosteus aculeatus aculeatus (three-spined stickleback) is the source of this 1727-nucleotide long non-coding RNA. Lineage: Eukaryota; Metazoa; Chordata; Actinopteri; Perciformes; Gasterosteidae. The record is from Ensembl.